GGAGGCAGAGAACAUCUUUAUAGGCUUCACAUUAUUUCUACAAAUGUACUGAAAAUACAAUGUCCCACAUACAAUCAAAGAUAAACAGGAAUUCAGGGGACAAGACAACAGGAACAAGACAAGCAACAGUCAAUUCUUGCUUUCUAAUGUGAUAAGAAUGUUAUGUAUGUCUUAGUAAUCACAGAUCUCAAGGCUGUUUCCUUUCAAAAUGUUUUAGGAUCAAAUCAUGGGAGAAAUGAAGAUUUAAUCAUUCCUAAAUUUAAGUCAGAUAGAAAGAAAUCAAUCUUUAGGAAUGUAUAGUGCUCAAAAUGAGAUCUACGAGGCAGUGAGAAUUUCAAACCAAAGCAGCAAAUGGUAAGAGACAGUGGUCCUUGAUGAUCAUCUGUAGAGUUCUUGGGGUUACUGUUUUCUGCUGUUCGUAUCAGUAUUGGCAUUAUUACGGUUAUCACCAGAGCAGCUCAAGACACGCCAAUGGGAAACCCCAGGAGAAAAUGUGUUUUUCCAAGUCUAGGAGAUGAAGAUAUUUAUCCAAGAGAAAGACGGCAAGCCUCCAAACUCAGGACACUUUAUUAAAAUGCUCAUCAGAUGAGAUCUUUUCAGUGGAGGUUCACAAGCUGGUUUGUUUAGAGGCUCUCACUAAGAAAUAGGACACUUGCCCAUCUCUCUGGAACACCUAGAGACAAAGCAUUUUCUGUCAAGACAAGUUCUGCUCACAUUGUGUCACUUGUUCAAGGUCUCAGCAAGUCUCCUUGGGGGCACUUCUUUCCUUGGGCAUCCACUUCACCUCCUUAAUGCAGAGCUGGCUAGGUGCCUGGGAUGGGGCAGAGCAGCGGCAGCAGAGGCCAUGUGGUCAGAACUUCAACUUCUCAGCUGCAUGCUGCUAGCUCAAUGGAGCACUAAGGGAAGCGGGAAGGGAGCAGACGGCUGCCACUCACAAAGGCCAAUCCCCCUCCCCACAGCAAGCCUCAUAUCCAUCAUGUUUUGCUAUGUUUCCUUCUGAUGCCAGCCCUGUGGGUCACCCACCCACCUACUUAUCAUGACUUCUCAUCUCUCCCCUCACAACACUGUCUUGUUUUGACUACUUCCCUCCUUCCAUGUGCUUCCAGCAACCCUAAGUAAGAACAAAGCAGUAAAAAAACGAAGCAGAAAAAUCCUACUCUUUGAAAGGAAGAGUUGGGUAGAGUGGAUGGGAUGGUGGGCUGGAUCCUAAAGGAAGAGUAGGAAAGAUUUGCAAAAACUUAAGGGUCAAGUUGAAAUUUAUAAUCAAUGCUUGAGUAUCUUUUCUUUAAAAAAAAAAAAACUCUUGAUGUCAGGCCGUUUUUAUUAAACUGUUAAAGUGAUUCUGAGAAAGAAUCAGAUAAGGAUAUCUGGAUCAUAAAAUUUUAGCAAAGAUCAUUAGAGAUAAUCUAGCAUCACUUGCCAUUUCACAGUUGAGGGAACUAAAGUGGAGUUAGUUACUCAGGCUAUUAAUGACAAAGAAGUGAAGGAGACCCUUGGUUAGCUGGGCCAGCAGUGCAGCGGUAUACGUUUCUCAAUGCCCUGCGGCCUACGCUAGCAAUACAUGUUAGACAUUUUCCAGAAAUUUACUACUUUUAUAAUUUCACAAGUAAAUACUCUCAAAGAAAGUUACUUCCUUAUAUGAGAGCCACAACUUGAAAGCUGGGUAACUUGUGUUUUGGGAGGUGCCCCCACCUGGUUAAAUGAAGUUACCCAUUUGAAGGAAUUUGAAGUCAUUUGGAAAGACAGUCUUAGGCCAGGCGUGGUGGCUCACGCCUAUAAUCCCAGCACUUUGGGAGGCCGAGGUGGGCAGAUCACGAGGUCAGGAGUUUGAGACCAGCCUUGCCAACGUAGUGAAACUUUGUCUCUACUAAAAAUACAAAAAUUAGCCAGGCAUGGUAGUGCGCACCCAUAGUCCCAGCUACUCGGGAGGCUAAGGCAGGAGAAUCACUUGAACCCAGGAGGCGGAGGUUGUGGUGAGCCGAGAUUGUGCCACUGCACUCCAGCCUGGUCAACAGAGGGAGGGUCCGUCUCAAAAAAAAAAAAAAAAAAGAAAGAAAGAAAGAAAAGAAAAGGAAAGAAAAGACUUUUCUGUGUGGCAGAGAAAGCCAACAUAGCAACAUUCUCAGUGGUACUGGAGUCUAGACAUCACCCUACUGACCUGGUCAGGACUCCUGGAUCAGCCCACUCUGAAACUGCCCACUACAGCUAGGUGGGGGGAACUUCCAAGCUCCUUA
Molecule: long non-coding RNA, 2234 nt
Filed under: Homo sapiens (human)
Lineage: Eukaryota; Metazoa; Chordata; Mammalia; Primates; Hominidae
Description: HSALNT0101314
Source: RNAcentral